This is a long non-coding RNA of Triticum aestivum (bread wheat), 854 nucleotides long. RefSeq lists it as uncharacterized. Lineage: Eukaryota; Viridiplantae; Streptophyta; Magnoliopsida; Poales; Poaceae. The record is from RefSeq and is a predicted model, not a curated record. The transcript is spliced from 4 exons.
UAUAGCCCCAGGCGUGACCCAACUCGCAACUACAUUAUCCAGCAGGAAUUUUGCAUGUUUGUACACUUAUAAAAGCCCAGCCCCAGACGUGCACAUCCAUUGCCAUGCCUCAGCCCAUAUACAACCCAGAAAGCUCUCCACCGCCAUCAAGCCCCGACGAACGAUCGCUCCAAAACGAAUCAGAAACAGAUCUCACAUGAUCGAUCAGAAAACAAACCUCGUUCAUGCUGCGUCGCCAAUUCCCCUCGACACUUCGACUACUUGACUCGACGAACCGUACAUCCGGACCUGCGCGGCUGCGCCCGGCGGACGGCGCCACAGCCCCCAUCAACCGUUCUAUUCUGUUCAGCUCCAUUUACACAACCGGCUGGACAUGAUAGCUUGGGAGAGACACACUAGUUGUGGAGGUUGUAGGUGGACGGGCCCCCACCACACGUGACACGUCCCCCGCCGCUCGGUGAUGCCCACCAUGUUUUUCUCGGUGGAUAUGAGGAGAACCUAAGCGUUAUCAUCAGAGCCUAGCUGUUUCCUCGCCGAGCAGUUGACAGAUCCUGGUCAAGCUUAGGAGGGCGACCGCCAUGGAGCCCGGAAAGGUCAGCCACAGAUUCCCAAUUCAAAAUUAAGCAAGGUAGGGGGAACAUGAAUCAACGCUGAAACUGCUAUGUGGCUCUGGUGGGUGGUGUACCGGGACCUGAGUAUCUCCCCGUCUAUGUCUACAAGAGCAUCUUCGCCGACGACAUCGCCCACACCGACUCCAACGACGAGAUCCUCGGCGUCCUCUCCUUCAUCUUCUGGACGCUCACCCUCAUCCCGCUCCUCAACUAUGUCUCCAUCGUGCUCCAAGCCGACGACAA